UACGUAGGGGGCAAGCGUUGUCCGGAAUCAUUGGGCGUAAAGGGCGCGUAGGCGGCCGAUCAAGUCGGAGGUGAAAUCCCUCGGCUCAACUGAGGAAUUGCCUUCGAUACUGUUCGGCUUGAGUCCUGGAGAGGGUAGCGGAAUUCCCGGUGUAGCGGUGAAGUGCGUAGAGACCGGGAAGAACACCAGUGGCGAAGGCGGCUACCUGGACAGGUACUGACGCUGAAGCGCGAAAGCUAGGGGAGCAAACAGG
This 253-nucleotide ribosomal RNA is filed under the name uncultured bacterium. Its description in RNAcentral is "partial 16S ribosomal RNA". It matches the Rfam family "Bacterial small subunit ribosomal RNA", at positions 524 to 776 of the family's 1533-position model. The record is from RNAcentral.